This 253-nucleotide ribosomal RNA is filed under the name uncultured Eubacteriales bacterium. RNAcentral's name for it is "uncultured Clostridiales bacterium partial 16S ribosomal RNA". It matches the Rfam family "Bacterial small subunit ribosomal RNA", at positions 524 to 776 of the family's 1533-position model. The record is from RNAcentral. Lineage: Bacteria; Bacillati; Bacillota; Clostridia; Eubacteriales.
UACGUAGGGGGCAAGCGUUAUCCGGAAUUACUGGGUGUAAAGGGAGCGUAGACGGUUAAGUAAGUCUGGAGUGAAAGGCCGGGGCCCAACCCCGGGACUGCUCUGGAAACUAUUGAACUUGAGUGCAGUAGAGGUAGGCGGAAUUCGUGGUGUAGCGGUGAAAUGCUUAGAUAUCACGAAGAACUCCGAUUGCGAAGGCAGCUUACUGGACUGUAACUGACGCUGAUGCUCGAAAGUGUGGGUAUCGAACAGG